RNAcentral lists this long non-coding RNA (2601 nucleotides) under Nicotiana tabacum (common tobacco). RNAcentral's name for it is "long non-coding RNA (NTAB_LNC007814)". Lineage: Eukaryota; Viridiplantae; Streptophyta; Magnoliopsida; Solanales; Solanaceae. The record is from RNAcentral.
AAAACGUUGCCCUCAAACAUUCCAAACCAGUCCCCUUUUCCUCGUCUAAAACCGCCUAAACCAGCUCCCAAAACGAGCCACAAACCAGCUGAAAAUCAGCGCCAAAUAACCAGCCAAACACAUGAAAUUUCAGCAGCCUUCCACCUCCAAAACCACCCAAAAAUAGCCUUCUUCCUCAACCAAAAACAUCCCAAAAUCAGCACGAAAUCCCAGCUAAGCACACCCCGUGAACAACCCCGUUUUGAACGUAAACAGUGGCAUCAAAGUGGAGGUUGAGUUUCCGUUGAGGUCUCGAGUUGCCGAUUUCGUCCGGGUUCACCGGCGAAAGCUCCGGUCAAGAGUCGUCGAGUUGUUUAACCUCUUGUAAUUCCAAUCUGGUUGAUUUAUACCAAAGGUCCGUUCUCGCGUUUUUUCGACUGAUUAUUUUGUCCAUUUACGUUGUUAUUUGUUAGCGUAAUUAUUGGGGCAUGAGGUAGUAGUUCAUUUUAUUGAUGUUUGGAUUGUUCGAUUCUAAGUGUUUCCAUGUUCAUAUCCUCAUUGUACCUUUUGUUAAUUGUGCGAAUGAAUACUUAUUAGAGUUUUAGAUUUCAUAUAUAUUUGUCCAUGUUCUUUAUCAUAAAUUAAAUCUAAGUAGAACUAAUUGGUGCAAUUUAGUUGCUGGGUCAUAUCAUUGUAGUUUACUUAGUUUAGUCGAUUUUCUCUUAUCUGAUAACAAGUACAAAUGUUUAGACUAAGGAUUUUGUCUAUGGGGAAGAAUUUGGGUUUCAAAAUAAUGUUCACUGUCCGUAGAACAGAUCUAAGAAUUGAGAAGCAAUUGGGCCAACAAUUUUAAUUCUAGUUAACCCAACAUCCAUAAUAUUCCGCUCAAUCCAUCUUCUUAAUUAAUAAAGAUUGUUCCAUAAUAGAUAAUUCCAACAACUAAACACUACCCUAUUUCUACAAUAAUUUCCCUAAGUUAUGGCCUUACAAUAAUCUCAAAAUUUAGGAAGAAUUUAUGAACAUUCGUAGAAUGCUUUAGGUGCGUUUUUUAAUUCAUUAUCAUGGUUAUGUACACGUUCGCGUGACGUAAUUUUGAUUUUCAAAAUAAAUCAAGAUACGCGUUCGUGCGACUUUGGCCAAACAAUCUUAAUAAUUAACAAAGCUUGAUUAAUUGUGUACACGUACGCGUGAAAUGAUUUUAGCGCCCCAAAUAAAAUGGAUUUACACACAUGUGAUCCGUUUCAAAGGUAAAUCCAUAAACACCAUAAUUUAAAGCGGUAAAAGGUAAAAUGUACGUAAGUUCUAAAAUGGGUAAUUAGAUAAUUAACUAAGUCAGGUAUGAUUAAAGCGACCGUGCUAAAACCACGGAACUCGGGAGUGCCUCAUACCUUUUCCCAGGUUAACAAAAUUCCUUACCUGGUCUUUUAUGUUCGCAGACCAUAAAUAAGAGUCAAUUUCCUCGAUUUGGGAUUUUAAAAUAAAUCGGUGACUUGGGACACCAUAACAAAUAUUCCAAGUGGCGACUCUAAAUUAAAUAAAUGAUCCCAUUUCAAAUUAGGUCACUUUAAUUGGAAAAACUCCCUUAUUUCCCUCGGGAAAAAGGAGGCGUGACAGCUCUGGCGACUCUGCUGGGGACUAGAACCCAGAAUCUCUGGUUCAGGAUUUAGAAUUCGAGCUUAUUAAUGUGAUCUAUACUUGGCUUUCUUGAUUAUUGAUAUUACUGUAUUUGUGGGCCUAAUGUGCUAAUUGUCGCUCAUUUACCGCUUUGAUAUUGUUUGAACUGUAUAAAUUGUCUUCUUACGCCUCCCUUCUGAGUCUUCUGAAACUAUGGUGCACACGUAUCUGUGGCCCACUUUAUAUUAGAGGUCGAAAAUAAGAGUGUGUAUGUGCAUGUGAGUUUGUUACAAAAACAAACUCACAUGCACAUACACACUCUUAUUUUCUUGGCCACCAAUUAAUCCCUAAACCUACACCUCUAUAUCUUCCGCUCACUCACACAAUUAAAAGGACACACAUACACGAAAGAGGGGAGGGAACAAAAAGAAAGAGGAACUAGAGAAUGGAGGAGGAUUUGGCUCUUCUUCUCCAAAAAACCAGCAACUUUUAGCCAUUAAAAAGCUUUUUCUUCCACCAUUAACAUAGCCUUUCUCCUCCAUCCAAGCACCCCUGUCUUCCUUCAUUAAAAUACAUCAAACUUACGUCCAUUAACACCCCCUAAAGCUCCGCAAAAAGCCGGAAAAUGUUUUCCUCAAACAUACCAAACUAGUCCCCUUUUCCUCGUCUAAAACCGCCCAAACCAGCUCCCAAAACGAGCCACAAACCAGCUGAAAAUCAGCGCCAAACAACCAGCCAAACACAUGAAAUUUCAGCAGCCUUCCACCUCCAAAAUCACCCAAAAACAGCCUUCUUCCUCAACCAAAAACAUCCCAAAAUCAGCUCCAAAUCCCAGCUAAGCACACCCCCUGAACAGUCCCGUUUUGAACGUAAACAGUGGCAUCAAAGUGGAGGUUGAGGUUGCCGUUGAGUUCUCGAGUUGCCGAUUCCGUCCGGAUUCACCGGCAAAAACUCCGGUCAAGAGUUGUCGAGUUGUUUAACCUCUUGUAAUUCCAAUCUGGUUGAUUU